Long non-coding RNA from Gallus gallus (chicken), 2588 nucleotides. The record is from Ensembl. Lineage: Eukaryota; Metazoa; Chordata; Aves; Galliformes; Phasianidae.
GGAGAAGGUAGAGGAAUGGAUGCUGUUGGAUUGGGGUGCUGUGCAUUGAAGGUGGUUCUGUUUUUCACUUCAUUCUCCCAGCUCGUGUUGCAUUAGAUAUAGCAGAAACCAAAACCAAGGUUAAGAGAGAGUCAGUCUCAAAUGAUUUGUCUGGCACGAAUAGCUUUCCAGUAAACCAAGGAGGCUUUAACAGCCUGCCAUGUUUCCCUUUGUCAGAGUCCUGCACAGAACAUGCUAUGCUGGCUUUGCUCUCUGCUAUCAGCACCUUCUGUUGCAGCCCUGCUGUGCAGUCAGGCCCUGUGGACUCAGCUCCCUGCAGCACAACCUCCUUGUGCAGACCUGUCCUCAUGCACCUCUACUGUACCGCAUUUAUUAAUGAAGAACAUGAAUAGCCAUAUCUGUAAGUAUCAAGAUCAAAAAACUGAGCUGCUCCUUGGACAUCAGACACUCAGUGAGCAUCCUACGGCCAGGAGCAUCUGCAGCAGAAGUUCUAAGUCACAGCUUGUACCACUGAUGGAGCACCUGAUGGUAGGCAGGGCCAGCACAGGAGAACUCAGGUGCAUGCAAUGUACCUAAGUGAUGGAAGGGGUGGGGCCAGGAUCCACCCCUUGCCAGACCUCUUUUACCAGACCUCCACCACCUUCUUGCCAGACCUCCACUGGUGGUGGAGGCAAAGAUAUUUUGAGGAAGAUCCCUGCCUAUCUGAAGCCUUUUAAAGGGCAAACUGCCUCUCCUUCAAAUGGAACUUCUCUGAAAUUAAAACCCAUAUCAUUAAAAAAGGAAGAAGACUUGGAUGAGCAGGAUCCUUGGAUCCUGGUUGAAUUCAAGAACAAAAAGAAGGCCAAGCAGACUAAAAUCCAACUAGAUUAUCUGGGAACCUCAGAUCCUCUAGAAUUAAGAUAGGAGGAUCUCGAGGAAGCUUACCAGCUAAUUCCUAUUAAUAGAAUAAAACCAAACAGGAGAAAGUAUGGAAAGCAAACAGAAGAGCCUUCCCUUGUCAUAGUCCCCGAGCUUCAGCAGGAGCUUACCAGCCUGCCACUGGGAUGCAAAGCAGAAAGCUACUCUAAGGACAGUGCCUUGUAAGUGCAUUGCAGAGAAGAGGCAAGCUGCUUUUAGUAGAGUUGUCCCAUAUGAGAUGCCAGGAAGGUUUUGGUGUGUACAGUAACAUGGAUCACCCUGACUGCAGUUGCCAAAUGUCUUUCCUUCCACCCUACUGAAAUAACUUGCUGCCUCCAGGUGCCCACCACUGUGGGGACAAGCAGUCAGCAUCACCAAAAGCUGGAGAAGUGGACCUCAGCCAUAAAUAAAGCUUAAUGCAUUAUUGAUGUGGAGAGACUAAAAGGAGCUACAAGGAAGGAAAAGACAACAGGAUUGGCUGUAGAGAAUAGAGGAAGUUACAUGAAUGUUAUACAGACCAACACACCCUGUUUUGAGGGGAUCACACCUGAGCCAGUGGCUGCUACUCUUGUAGCAUACACUGCAUGCAUCACUUGUAGUGACUGCACUCAAGGAAUGGCUGUACACGUCACAGAAUACAUUUCCUACAAGUGCAUUGGUCUUACCUACGUCUGCUUGCCCACUUAUUUGGUGACGUUGGUCCCAACAUGCUAAUCGCUACUGCAGAAGCUUUCCCUGUCCUAAAAAUACUUCUCAGUUUCAUCUCUUGUGUGAACACUGGAAGACAGUGUCUGCUGAUUAAGUAAGCAAAUGGUGAUGUGCCUUCAAGAAAACAUGAUUCAAAACUACAGCAAAUAUAUAUAUCUAUAGGAUUCACAAGGAGAAGGAGGAACACAUGAAUGACAAGGAAAUGUGUGUGUAUGGGGCAUUUGGCUCACACAGCUCUGUACCCACCGCUUUAAUACACCUGAUGUAUUACGCUGUCUUGUUAAGGGUGAGAAGAUGAAUGAUGUCCACUACACUGGCAAAGCCACGAGGGUACCCAAAGCAGAGAGGAGCAAUGCAGUGUGCAGCAGCCAUACACAUGGGCGUAGGCUCCGUGGUUCACACAGGGAGCACACCACAGGCAGUACAAGGACCCUUCUUACCCUUAGCCUUCCAUUAUUCAGGAAUGCUCUAGAUUUCUUACCAUGAAAGCAGUUGCUCAGUGUAAAGCUAGACCCAAGUUGGCAAAAACCCCACUUUCUCUCCGUGCAGCUUGUAGUUACCUCCAUCCACAUUCAUCCCACUCCACCACUUUUACCUCCUCUGCUACAGACACAUCAGCCUCUCUAGCUCAGCAAUCAAGCAUACAGAGUUGACAAGCAAACAAGGGGGUAUCUCAACUCUUUCAGAGGCAUUACUGUAACUCUCUAAGACCAAUUGAACCUUGCCCUCCUCCACUUGUGUUUCCCUUUCCCCUUUAAUUAGUGUGUUUUAUAAAGCAAGUUUUUCCUAUGUAUGGAGAGGGUUUAGAUGUCAUCAGCAUCACCUGCCUCCAGAGACCUGUUCCAAGCACGCUUCCCUGGAGGCACUGUGCACAGAGUCACUCAUCAGCACUGUUUGCUGGGAGUCACAGAAACCAACAGACUGAGUGAAACCUGACAGACUGAGGAAGCAAAACUCAGGGUAAUUGAGGAAUAAAUAGAAAG